Molecule: non-coding RNA, 2486 nt
Organism: Oncorhynchus mykiss (rainbow trout)
Lineage: Eukaryota; Metazoa; Chordata; Actinopteri; Salmoniformes; Salmonidae
Source: RefSeq, a predicted model, not a curated record
CUGGGAGAGUGUCUCGCUGGUGUGGUGGGGUGGGGUGUCUAUAGAUCUGUUGCUCCUGUGUGAAGUGUUGGGGCUGCGUUUGAGAGCGAUGUCCUUUACGGUCCGGGUGAAGGUGGGCACUGCCGCCUUGUCUAGGUGGACCUGGUCAUAAAGGCAGUCCAAGUUCAGGGUGGGCCAGGUAAAAAUGUGGUUUUGAGUCACAGUCACGGGAAAAACUUGCUUUUAUCUAUGGUAGCAGGGUGGAAGUAUUUUUGUGGUAGCAGGGUGGAUAUAACCACUUGUGAAUUAGGGAAAGUAGAAGAAGCUUUUUCAAUCACUCCCCUGAGUGCUGUGGCCACCCUUUCCUGCUGUGCUCUCAGGUCGUUUGUGCCUGUGUGUAUUAUUAUGUGGCUAGGUGAACCAAGUUGCUCCUCAGACAGAAGGUCUAGGGCGCGUUGGUUGUUUGGACACCAGGGUUUAGACACACUGUGUUUGGGAAAAAGUUGUUUUCUUGUAUAUACAGUAUUUCCCAUUUAAGUCCAUAAGGAGGACAAUCUAUGUCUUGUGUAUGACCUCAGUGGGUGUGGGGGAGUUGUCAGGAGGGCUAUCAGGGUGGCUGACACUGGGGGUGCUCAGAGGGGGUAAGAUCCCCUAGGCUUGGGGUUCUUCAUUUGUCUGUCCCGCUAUGAUGUCGACGUGAUCAGGGUCUGGGGUGGACUGUUCUGCUGUGGUGUCAAGACUUUUGUUGGGAGCUGAGGUUGGUUGUUCUGCCUGCUUCCCUGCGGGGUGGCCACCUCUCUAGUGGGUUGUUCUCUGUCACAUGACAUCCCCCUCACCCUCUCCUCCAGUAGUCUGAUCCUCUCCUCUAGUGCUCUGUUCUUCUCCUGCUCCUGCUUUUUCUCCUGUUGAUGUCUCAGAGUGCAGAUAUAUCUCUCUCCACCUCCAGCUCUCCAGGUCUGGUUAAGGGGGUGUUGUUGUGCUGGACUGUUGUCUGGGUCUGUGCUGACUGGAGUGUAAUCACCUGCUGUUGCAGCUCCACCUGCCUUACCUCCAGCUGGGUGAAUUUAUUCUAAAACAAAUGUGUAGUUUACUUGUAUUAUCUGCUUACCUUGUAGAAUCUGGUUGAUUCUCUGAGGUCUUUGCACAGCAAUCCUUAUUAAUGUUCACUACACAGGUCAUAUUGCCUUAUCAAGACCAUCGGAUCAGAGUGAUACUUUGGCAUGUACAGAGGUAUUGCUGUGAACCUGACUCUGGUCACUCCAGAGAAGGACAUCAAACUAGCUGCCAUUGACUGACUUAGACAACACCUGUCCAAGGAUGGUCAGAAGCUCACCCUGCUGAGGGAGAUGCUGAUCAUCAUCACCACUCCCAUGGAGAUGCUAAAGAUUCAGUUACAGGAUGCAGUGUGGAUAGGUGAGAGAUGGGUUGAAGAAGGAGAGAGGAGGUUGGAUGUUCCCCUGUUCCCAGUCACUGUUUCAUGACUAACCAAUGUCUUGUCAGCCAAACAAACACAAACAGAUCACAGGGAUCUGAUCAGUUAGAACCAGUAACAACCAGCAUUGUUAUUGUAUCAAUGUAAAAUUGUUAUUUUAUUGCUUGACCACAUUUGUGACUCUUCCUUGUUUUCCUGUGAUUCCCCAAAUGUAUUUUUGUUUUCCAACCUCCUGAGGCAUUCCUGCUUCUCUGUCCCUGGUUGAUGAUGUCACACUGAUGAUAAUGAUGAUGUUCUGUGUGUUAUGACACACGAAGAGGCUCAGAGGAAGCUGAUGUCCCAGGCUGUAGUUGGGCCCCUGGGGGCCCAGUGGAGUUGAGGUCCCAUACAGCAAUGCAGCUCACCCGGAAGCUGCUGUGGAGCCAGGGCAUCGCAGGGCUCUACAAGGGCCUGGGGGCCACACUCCUGAGCGAUUAAGACCAGAAUUCAGACCAUGACACAGAGAAGUCAGGAGGACACCUACAGCAGAGUGACAGACUGCAUCAGGAAGAUUCUGCGCCAAGAGUGUCCCUCUGCUUUCCAGAAGGGGGCGUACUGCCAUGCUCUGGUCAUUGCUCCCCUCUUUGGCAUCGCACAGGUGGUCUACUUCCUGGGGGUGGGAGAGUUCCUUCUCAGCUUCCUGCCUCAACGGAACAACUAGUCUUGCACUCUCAUACACAGCCCACAAUGGAGGCAGAUAAUCUGUCUCUUUCCUAUCACACACAGCCCACAUUGGCCAAAGCCGUAAGGAGUUAGUUAGAGUCAGACAGAACGGUGUGUGUGUUCUAGACCAGAGUUUGCCCUCUGCACCUGUUGAGGGUGUUCUGAUAGGUCAUCCUUUUUUAUAUCCCCUACUUGAGAUGAAUUACUGUAAAUAUUUAAAUUUAGGUCUGAUUUAUAACAACAAAAUAAUCAUUCAAUAUAAUUUCAAGUGUACUUUUAGUUGUGCCUUAUCAAGGUUAAGUCAUGGAAUUCUCUUUAUUGUUUUUACUAAGAUGUUGCUAUCAUGAUAUAUAAAUCUGUCAAAUAAUGUUAA